Molecule: ribosomal RNA, 437 nt
Filed under: Anyphaenoides clavipes
Lineage: Eukaryota; Metazoa; Arthropoda; Arachnida; Araneae; Anyphaenidae
Description: partial 16S ribosomal RNA
Source: RNAcentral
UUCUAUUAGAAUUAAUUAAUAGUAUAAUCUGCUCAAUGAAUUUAAAUAGCCGCAAUUUCUGUGCUAAGGUAGCAUAAUCAUUUGUCUUUUAAUUGAAGACUAGAACAAAAGAUUGAACAUUUUAAUUAAUUUAUUAAAAUAAAUAAUAAAAAUUAUUUUAAAUGUAAAAAAACAUUUAUUAAAAAGAAAGACGACAAGACCCUAUUGAACUUAACUUUAGUUAAACUGGGGCAGUUAAUUAAUAAAUAUUUUAAUUUAAAUAUAUAAGAAAAUGAUCUAAUUAAAUUAAUCUCAUGAAAAGUUACCAUAGGGAUAACAGCGUAAUAAUAAUUUCAAGAUCUUAUUUAAAUUAAAUUUUGCGACCUCGAUGUUGAAUUAAUAACCUAAUAAAUGCAAUAAUAUAUAAAGGAAGUCUGUUCGACUUUUAAAAAAUUACA